Molecule: ribosomal RNA, 270 nt
Filed under: uncultured bacterium
Lineage: Bacteria
Description: partial 16S ribosomal RNA
Rfam family: Bacterial small subunit ribosomal RNA
Source: RNAcentral
UACGUAGGGGGCAAGCGUUGUCCGGAUUUAUUGGGCGUAAAGAGCGUGUAGGCGGCCAUACAGGUCAGCUGUGAAAACUCGAGGCUCAACCUCGAGACGUCGGUUGAAACCGUAGUGGCUAGAGUCCGGAAGAGGAGAGUGGAAUUCCCGGUGUAGCGGUGAAAUGCGCAGAUAUCGGGAAGAACACCCGUGGCGAAGGCGGCUCUCUGGGCCUGUACUGACGCUGAGGAGCGAAAGCGUGGGGAGCAAACAGGGAUUAAGAAACCCUGG